Thunnus maccoyii (southern bluefin tuna) is the source of this 132-nucleotide non-coding RNA. The record is from RefSeq and is a predicted model, not a curated record. Lineage: Eukaryota; Metazoa; Chordata; Actinopteri; Scombriformes; Scombridae.
GUGGCAGUCUUUCUGUGGUUCCAGCACUGAGCAGUGUGCUGCAACCAGUGCGACUCCACACAGAGUGAGGCUGGUUCCUGCCGACAGGGCCUGUAAAGGCAUUGGUUUCCCUGUGCGAUGGUUCCAUACAUU